Molecule: RNA transcript, 4566 nt
Organism: Mus musculus (house mouse)
Lineage: Eukaryota; Metazoa; Chordata; Mammalia; Rodentia; Muridae
Gene: Znf41-ps
Gene name: ZNF41, pseudogene
Exons: 5
Source: RefSeq, marked validated
AAAGAAAAAAAAAAGAAUGAGUUCUUCUCUGGUAAAAUUCCAGGUGGAAGAAGGGGAAGUGCAAACUUGGUGUUCUGAGACUCCCUUAGAGACCCUGGGAGAAGGACAGCAACAAGAAUGAGUGUGUGUCUGGUAAAUACACCACAGGGUCUGUUAACCUUCAAGGACGUGGCCUUGGACUUCUCACUGGAGGAAUGGGAAUCUCUCAGUUUUGCUCAGAGGACAUUGUACAUGGAUGUGAUGUUGGAGAAUUACAAUAAUCUGUUAUUUGUGGAAAAUCAUUGCAUAUGUGGAAAGUAUGAGAAGGUCUUGGAUCAAGACAGCCAGUACAUUGUCCAUGAACACAUGAAUAUUCAAGAGAAGUCUUCUAAAUGGGACAAACUUAGCAAUGUGAUACUUGAAGCCCCCCAAUGUACACCUUACAAAACUAAUCACACCUCUGAUGCUCUUCAAUUUUCAAACUAAAAAAGACUUAAGCCCAGGAACACUAAAGAAGUUUGCAAAUACAAUGACUCUGUAAACAGUUUAACUUUGUUUUCUACCAUUAGUCUCAAUCAGGGAAUCCACAUGCAGAAGAAAAAACACAACGGAAAUGCAGAAUCUGAGAAGGCUUUUAUUUCUAAACAUAAAGUCAUGGUGAAACGAAAUAAUACUGGAGUGAACCCUUACAAAUGUAGUAAAUUUGACAAAUAUCUUACCCAGAGAGACAAACUUCAAAGUCAGCAGAGAAUUUAUCAUGAAAAGAAACAUUACAGAAGUAGUAAAAGUGACAAAUGCUUUACCCAUCAGAUCGAUCUUAGUAUCCAUCAGGGAAUUCAUGCAGAAGAGAAAAUUUAUAAAUGUAGUGAAUGUGACAAAUGCUUUACCCACAAAUUUCAUCUUAAUAUUCAUCAGAGAAUUCAUACAGGAGAGAAACCUUACAAAUGUAGUGAAUGUGACAAAUGCUUUACCCAAAAAUCUCAUCUUAAUAUUCAUCAGAGAAUUCAUACAGGAGAGAAACCUUACAAAUGCAUUGUAUGUGAGAAAUGCUUUACUGAAAAAGGCAAUCUGAGAAUUCAUCAGAGGAUUCAUACAGGAGAUAAACCUUACAAAUGCAGUGAAUGUGACAAAUGCUUUACCCAAAAAUCCCAUCUUAAUAUUCAUCAGAGAAUUCAUACAGGAGAGAAACCUUACAAAUGUAGUCAAUGUGACAAAUCCUUUACUGAAAAUGGCCAUCUGAGAAUUCAUCAGAGAAAUCAUACAGGUGAGAAACCUUACAAAUGUAGUCGAUGUGACAAAUCCUUUACUGAAAAUGGCCAUCUGAGAAUUCAUCAGAGAAUUCAUACAGGAGAGAAACCUUACAAAUGCAGUGAAUGUGACAAAUCCUUUACUAAAAAAUUCAGUUUGAGGAUUCAUCAGAGAAUUCAUACAGGAGAGAAACCUUACAAAUGCAGUGAAUGUGAAAAAUGCUUUACUUUCAAAGGCAGUCUGAGGAUUCAUCAGAGAAUUCAUACAGGAGAGAAACCCUACAAAUGUAGUGAAUGUGACAAAUCCUUUACUGAAAAUGGCUGUUUGAGAAUUCAUCAGAGAAUUCAUACAGGAGAGAAACCUUACAAAUGCACUGAAUGUGACAAAUGCUUUACUUUCAAAGGCAGUCUGAGGAUUCAUCAGAGAAUUCAUACAGGAGAGAAACCUUACAAAUGCACUGAAUGUGACAAAUCCUUUACUGAAAAGGGCAAACUGAGAAUUCAUCAGAGAAUUCAUACAGGAGAGAAACCUUACAAAUGUAGUGAAUGUGACAAAUGCUUUACUGAAAAAGGCCAUCAGAGAAUUCAUACAGGAGAGAUACCUUACAAAUAGUUUGUAUGUGACAGAUACAAUACAAUGUCAGUCUGAGAAAUCAUCAGUUUUUAAUACAGUAGAGAAUAUUUAUAAAUGAAGUGAAUGAGACAAUCCUUUACCAAGAUAUAUCAUCUUAAAAAUCAUUAGAGAAUACUUACAGAAGAGAAACUUUUCAAUUAUAUCGAAGGUAUGAAUCCUUUACUCUUGGCCUAUUUCCUAGAAUGUUAACAGUGAAUACUUACAGGAUACAAACUUAACUCAUGCAUUGUAUGAAGAAAUAUCUUUGACUUCAUUUCAGGUCAAAGAGAAUAUCUAAUAACUUUUUAGGGGAAAGUAUUUCUGUUGGGGAAAGUGUGGCCUGUGUUUUAUUCACGUUCUAUUCUUGACAACAAUUGAGGCUCCACACUAGAGAAUUAGUAUGAUUAUGAAAAUCAUGUGAAAACUUUCAUGCAAUGUUCAAAUCUUAAAUAAUGUCAACUAUUUUUUGCUUGAAGAAACUCUGAAAAUGUAAAAAUGUAGAAAGCUUUUCAUGACACCUUUUUACUUGUUCACCCUUAAAUGUUACAAGAUGAAGACAAGUUGGGAAGUGAGGAGAUAUUAUUGUGUACCACAUUCAUUGAGACAGAAAUAAUCCAUUUCAAAAGGAAACUAUUUAAGGUCUUUAAUGCAGUCCUCAAAAUAUCUAAUAAAACUGGUAACAUUCUGUAUAUUUAAUUCAAAUGAGCCAAUUGAGAAAAAUUAUACUUAAAAGAAUAUCUGGCAAACUGAGCCACCCAGACAGCAUAUUCUUUAUCCUAUAAAUAUGCUUACAGAUGUUAAGUGUGCUUCGAGUAUUCAGUAAUAAUAAUUCUUCUCAAAUGCUUGGUUCACAUUAUAGGAUAACAACUGAUCAUUAUUUCCCAUUUAUUAAACGAAAGUCCUAUAGGUCUCUGAAAAAUGCUGACCGUUGAUACAUAUUACAAGACAUUGUGGUGUACUCCACUCUACCGUAAGGAAUAAAAUAGAUUUCCAUUCUUUUCUUAAAUCAUCUACGGAAUCUUAAUAUUUUGCACAUCUCAGAAUAUACAUUCUGAAGAAAAACAACAGCUUUUGUAACUAAUAGCUAAGUCAUUAACAUAUGCUGCAGUGUGUAUACUUUGCACUAAGGACACAGAAGCAAUUGCUGUAACCAUAAUAGAAACUAUCAGGACAGCCAUUCCUGCUAAAAUCAUGCCUAUGGCCCUUUUAGAUCGCAACAACAAUUCUGUGGUUGCAUGCUCAAGAAUUCCUAGGCCUUUAUCAUCAUACCAAUCCUUAGUUAAAUUAACUGGUAAAUAAACAUAAUCAGGUUGCUUAACAAUCAAAAAAUUACUUAAGGUAUAAUUAACACAGUUAGUUAUUUGACAAUUAGUACAGUUAACAGUAUUAUUAUCUAUCAAUAAAUUCCCACUCAAAGAAGACUAUGGCUCUGGAACACACGAACAUACAAAAACUUCAGUCUUAUUGUGUUUGUCCUGAAAUGCCAUGAUAUUCCACAUAGGAAUCCAGGUAAUUGUGGACGCCCACUCGCCAGCAAGUAAGAUGCCACAACAGGAUCCUUCUGCAACAUGUUUAUUGGGAGAGCAUGGACUGCGUAGGUGAAAGACCCCGAGCCCCAGAAAUGGUGCUACUUAUAUAGGCCUAGGGAGUGACAUGUCCAUAACUGAUUGGUUAUGCUACCAGUACCUCAUUAAUAUGCCUCGAGCCAGGCAGUGACUCGGCAAAAAACUCUGGCACAUGCGCACAUUGGUUGUUUACCCAUAUUCAUGGGCAUUGGCUUACUGAAACCGGUGCCAUCUUGUAAUGGCGUUUGCGGCUUCCCACAUCUCCCCCUUUUUAUUGUAAUAAAAUGAUGCUGGAUUAGGCCUAUGCAAUUAUGUCCAUCCGCUACGGCUCCUGUUUUAGGUCGUUCCUCUGUGUCACAGCCUUACCCGUCAUAGGGUAACCCUAUCGCCACCAGGCCCCGUGUCUUAGGUUGCUCUGUGCAUGAGGAAAGUUGCCCAUCUUUGGAUAAUGCAAUGCUGUGUGACAGUAAUUGCUAAAUGACUUAUUUUGUUCGUCCUGAAAUGUCAUGAUAUUCCCGAUAGGAAGCCAGGUGAUGUUAAUUCUUUUAACUGUUAUCAUCCCAAGGGCUGCAAUGGCUUUUCUUAAUGAAGAAAAAUAAGUUUCAUUAUUUUUUGUCCCAAUUCCAUGAACCAAAUUAAUAGGAGGAUGAUUAGUAUAAUCCAAAAUAUUCCAAUCACACAGGGUGGUAUUAGAGCAAAGGCAUGAAAUUGUAAUAUAUGUCCAUCAGAAUACUCUCCUAAAUAUUUGGUUUGAUUGACAUAAACAGUAAUAUCUACAGUCUCAUCCCAAGUGACAGGAUGAAUUAUAGGUGGAUUUGGAACAUAUGCCCAAUAAACUUAUGCAGAGCUGCCUCGAUGUAACAUCCAGAUAAUGCUAAUCAAUAGGGCAAUCAGCUGUAUUCGAUCCUGUGCUGUCAUAGACGUUAUCAUUCGAGGUUCCUGGCGGUGGCGUUGAAAAGAAAGACGAAACAUCUGUCUUUAAUAUUCCCAUCUUGGUUUUCAGCAUGGCGUACACACUGGGUUGGCAACCACCUAGGGGAAGGUGUGUCUGUUGGGAAAACAUAAACAUACCCACGGCCCCAUAAAAGUACAGGAUCUGGGCUGUGUAAUGAGCCGUCCAUCGGAUCUUUCCAAUAAACUAAAGGUUUUGCUUUGUCUUCGG